ACCGCUCUCCAAGGACUCUCGAGCAGCUCCAUCUACAGAUUCACAUGGAGAAGAAUUAAGGGUUCCUGCCAAUCACCAGCACCACUUUGCCAGCCUUGUAAGUGGGCCACCUUGGAAUUGGAGCCUCCAGUUCCUACUGACAUCUGACUGCAACAUCAUGAGAGACCCUGAGUUUGAACCACCCAGCUGAGCUGCUUCUGAGCUAACCCACUGAAACCUUGGCAUCUGUGUGAAGAUGUGAAUGGAGGAGGCAGAGUAGGCAGUGAGUGCCGCAGCCACAGCUUGUGUUCUCUGCAGCCCUGGCACAGAAGAUAGGAACACUCAUGGGGGAUGCGGCCACUGUGAUGUCUUCCCACACAAGAAGUGCCAAGUGCUUUUCUCAUGCUUUUCUGGAUUGUCCCAUGGUGGACGAGUCAGCAGGAGUGAGAUGGAGCAGCACAGUAGAGGGCACCUGCUCUGUUUUGUCCCAGGCCAGGAUAUCGUUGUACAUAUUCUCAGCUAAGUGAGCACCAAUAGAGGAGAGGGAGAGUCUCAUGGAAGUUCCUUCUAAGCCUUUGGCUCUUUUUACCUUCAACAAGGUUCCUUAGAUCCUGGGAUGAGGAGGUGGACCAGCAGAAGGUGGGCUUGUGAAGGCAGCCCGGGGUCCAAAUCCUCCUGGCUCUUCAGCUUAGCGGGUUAGUUAACAUUCAGAAGCCUUCAUCUCCCAUCUGCAAAAUGGGCAUGUCCAACUCAGAAGCUGCCUUGAAGAAAGGGUCUACCCAGCAUGGUGCGUGGAGCCUAAGCAGUCAGUACUUCAGGACUUCACCCGGCCCCUUUCCAAUAACUGCUGCUGUCGCCCUCACAGGAUGUCACCUUCAGCGUCUGAAAGCUGGGUUUGAUGCGUCUGGAAAGGCGUCCCUGACAGGCGUCGUUGCCAGGAGCCCCUAGUGCCACCAGCAGCCAGCAGGGGAGGGCGUCCUCUGCCCGCUCACUUCUGACCCUUCUCUCGUUGCACCCGGAACAUGGUGCAGCUGGGAGCAGCCUGGGCUGCGCGGAAGGCUCAGAUUUGGGGACGGCCCUUGCCAGUGACUGUGAGCUGGGGUGUCUUGGAAACUCCCAGUCUCAGCUUCUCCAUUUAUAAGAUGAGAAUGAUCAUACCAGACUCAGGCAAGGUUGUUUGUGCAUUAGUGAAAUCAGACGUAUUAAAUAAAGUACCACAUUGAUCGUGGAGUUGUUGAAUAACCAAGAACACGCCUAUCUGUCUCCAAAAAAUAAAUGUUGAAAA
This 1264-nucleotide long non-coding RNA is filed under the name Homo sapiens (human). RNAcentral describes it as "long intergenic non-protein coding RNA 658". Lineage: Eukaryota; Metazoa; Chordata; Mammalia; Primates; Hominidae. The record is from RNAcentral.